This 253-nucleotide ribosomal RNA is filed under the name uncultured bacterium. Its description in RNAcentral is "partial 16S ribosomal RNA". It matches the Rfam family "Bacterial small subunit ribosomal RNA", at positions 524 to 776 of the family's 1533-position model. The record is from RNAcentral.
UACGGGGGGGGCAAGCGUUGUUCGGAAUUACUGGGCGUAAAGGGCUCGUAGGCCGCCAACUAAGUCGGACGUGAAAUCCCCAGGCUCAACCUGGGAACUGCGUCCGAUACUGGAUGGCUUGAAUCCGGGAGAGGGAUGCAGAAUUCCAGGUGUAGCGGUGAAAUGCGUAGAGAUCGGGAGGAACACCAGAGGCGAAGGCGGCGACCUGGACAGAUACUGACGCUGAGGUGCGAAAGCGUGGGGAGCAAACAGG